GUCCACGCCCUAAACGAUGAUGACUAGUUGUUGGAGGAGUUAAAUCCUUUAGUAACGCAGCUAACGCGUGAAGUCAUCCGCCUGGGGAGUACGGUCGCAAGAUUAAAACUCAAAGGAAUUGACGGGUGCCCGCACAAGCGGUGGAUGAUGUGGUUUAAUUCGAUGCAACGCGAAAACCUUACCUACCUUUGACAUGCUAGGAACGCUGCAGAAAUGCAGCGGUGCCCGAAAGGGAACCUAGACACAGGUGCUGCAUGGCUGUCGU
This 265-nucleotide ribosomal RNA is filed under the name uncultured bacterium. Its description in RNAcentral is "partial 16S ribosomal RNA". It matches the Rfam family "Bacterial small subunit ribosomal RNA", at positions 793 to 1055 of the family's 1533-position model. The record is from RNAcentral.